RNAcentral lists this ribosomal RNA (471 nucleotides) under uncultured bacterium. Its description in RNAcentral is "bacterial SSU rRNA". It matches the Rfam family "Bacterial small subunit ribosomal RNA", at positions 27 to 518 of the family's 1533-position model. The record is from RNAcentral.
GGACGAACGCUGGCGGUGUGCCUCAUACAUGCAAGUCGAACGAUAAGGUCUCUUCGGAGAUACAUAAGUGGCGGACGGGUGAGUACAACAUAGGAAAUCUGCCCUAAAGCGGGGGACAACAGAGGGAAACUUCUGCUAAUACCCCAUAUGAGCUUAGUUGAAAUACUAAUCUUGAAAGAUUUAUCACUUUAGGAUGAGCCUGUGCCUGAUUAGCUGGUUGGUGGUGUAAUGGACUACCAAGGCGACGAUCAGUAGCUGGUUUGAGAGGAUGAUCAGCCACAAUGGGACUGAGACACGGCCCAUACUCCUACGGGAGGCAGCAGUAGGGAAUUUUGCGCAAUGGGCGAAAGCCUGACGCCAGCAACACCGCGUGAAUGUUAAGCCCUUCGGGGUGUAAAGUUCUGUCAGUAGGGAAGAACAAAUGACUGUACCUGCAAAGGAAGCACCGGCUAACUCCGUGCCAGCAGCUGC